Herpailurus yagouaroundi (jaguarundi) is the source of this 491-nucleotide long non-coding RNA. RefSeq lists it as uncharacterized. Lineage: Eukaryota; Metazoa; Chordata; Mammalia; Carnivora; Felidae. The transcript has 2 exons. The record is from RefSeq and is a predicted model, not a curated record.
UAAGACUCUUCCCCUCGUGCUUCACGAGAAAGUAGCCUUUAACUGUGGAAAGGCGACCUACGGGAACGGGGGAGGGGGAGAGCGGUAGCAGCCGGAGGCAUAAGCUCGCGGCAGACCUCUGUUCCUCCAGCUCUUGUUCUGCUGAGGUGACAUGAUCGGAGGACCCUGCGGAAGGCCAGAGACUGCGCUGUGGGAGGGACCUUCUGCAAGGACAGAGAAGGGAGACGACAGAAAUGACAUGGGGACAGAAACUUGGUUGGAAGUACGGAAGUGUUCAAAUGGGGCUUUAGCAGAUUUUUCUGUGUGAUAAGGAAUAUCAGUAGUGCUUUUGCAAUGAGAUCUGCUUUUCUGACAUCUGAGAAAAUGACAUCAAGGUACAGCAAGAACAAAAUGGCCUGGACAUUUGAGUUACAACACUUUUUUACUUUCUUGUCAUUCUUUUCUGUUAUCCCCAAGCCUUCAAAUAAAAUGUUUCAGAUUUCUUAGCUAUA